Molecule: unclassified non-coding RNA, 528 nt
Filed under: Melitaea cinxia (Glanville fritillary)
Lineage: Eukaryota; Metazoa; Arthropoda; Insecta; Lepidoptera; Nymphalidae
Description: misc RNA ENSMCXG00005008136.1
Source: RNAcentral
CCGUUGGCGCAGAUUGUAGUGACCCCGCUUUCUGCUCCGAGGGUUGUGAGCUCGAUUCACACAUACGUAUAUCGAAAAAAAAAAUAUAGCUAUACCAGUAGGCUGUUAUCUGUAACACAAGCAUUAAUUUGAUUACUUUAGGAACAAAGGACCGUGUGUAUAUUGUGUAGAUAUUUAUAAAUUUUAUUUUUUGUCAUUAAACAAAUUUGAAGAUCAAAAAAAAUCUAGUAGAUACAUUUUGUUAUAUUUUUUCAAGCUACUAAUGAACCGCUUCUGAGUAAAAAGCUAUUAACUGGCCUAGUAAGCACUUAACGACAUGUUUCGAAAAAGAAUCAAAAUUAAAUACAAGUCCAAAAGCGAGGCACAUAAAGCUUGUAUAUGGUCAUUUAUGGGUAUAACCGAAGUGGCCUUCUAAAGUAAUUGCAACGACGCUCAAGAAACCAUUGAAUAUUUUAAGUGCUUGAAAAUGUGUCUCUUGGAUUAAAGCUAAAAAUCAGUCUGUAUCUUUUCUUAUAUUUUAAAAAUGUA